Molecule: non-coding RNA, 181 nt
Filed under: Mycoplasmatota bacterium
Lineage: Bacteria; Bacillati; Mycoplasmatota
Description: 6S RNA
Rfam family: 6S / SsrS RNA
About the family: E. coli 6S RNA was the first non coding RNA to be sequenced, but its function was unknown until recently. It consists of 184 nucleotides that fold into an extended hairpin structure with a large single-stranded internal bulge. The 6S RNA specifically associates with RNA polymerase holoenzyme containing the sigma70 specificity factor.
Source: RNAcentral
AAAUACCUGAAGGAUACGACAACUAUAUUUAAAACCGACAAAGAUAUAUUUAGGGAAUCUAACGUAUUGUAUGUGUUGAAUGCUUAAUCCUAUUAAGAAUCCUAAUUACUAUACCGUGAUUACCCACCUGUGUGAUUGCGCGCGGGUUUUAUCUCCUUAGUAUCGGUUCUUUGGGUAAAUA